Molecule: long non-coding RNA, 309 nt
Filed under: Mytilus galloprovincialis (Mediterranean mussel)
Lineage: Eukaryota; Metazoa; Mollusca; Bivalvia; Mytilida; Mytilidae
Source: RNAcentral
AGCAAUGAGAUGAAAGUAGAAUUUUAAUUAAAAAUAUGAAUAUUAGAAACAUGACUAAAUUGAAAUCAGUCUUCACACUUUUUAUUCUAAAUUAUGUUUGAAAUAAUAAUCAAAUCAAUAUUUUAAGCCAGUAAACUUGUACAAAAGGUUAUAAAGAAAUAACUUAGUAUUACCGAGAGAUCUGUGUUCUCUCUACUUUACCAGUAAGCUUUGGAAAAUUCUAUUCAAAACAAUUUCACAUUUUACAUUUGCAUAUAAUUUAAAGAUGUUUUCUUUUUUCAAGUCAAACUGAGCGAUUGAUAGUUUAUA